UGCUCCAUCGGCUAAUGGCAAGCCGCUGUACUUUGGAUACAGCUAUCGAGGUUCGAAUCCUUGUGGAGCAGC
RNAcentral lists this transfer RNA (72 nucleotides) under Gordonia phage GodonK. RNAcentral's name for it is "tRNA-Gln". It matches the Rfam family "tRNA". From Rfam's summary of the family: Transfer RNA (tRNA) molecules are approximately 80 nucleotides in length. Their secondary structure includes four short double-helical elements and three loops (D, anti-codon, and T loops). Further hydrogen bonds mediate the characteristic L-shaped molecular structure. tRNAs have two regions of fundamental functional importance: the anti-codon, which is responsible for specific mRNA codon recognition, and the 3' end, to which the tRNAs corresponding amino acid is attached (by aminoacyl-tRNA synthetases). tRNAs cope with the degeneracy of the genetic code in two manners: having more than one tRNA (with a specific anti-codon) for a particular amino acid; and 'wobble' base-pairing, i.e. permitting non-standard base-pairing at the 3rd anti-codon position. Lineage: Duplodnaviria; Heunggongvirae; Uroviricota; Caudoviricetes. The record is from RNAcentral. RNAcentral also lists the same sequence under 1 other name.